UACAGAGGUGCCAAGCGUUAGGCGGAAUCACUGGGCUUAAAGCGCGCGUAGGCGGAUGUUUAAGUGUCUUGUGAAAUCCCGCGGCUCAACCGCGGAACUGCUUGGUAUACUGGGUCGCUUGAGUCAUCCAGGGGCAACUGGAACAAGCGGUGGAGCGGUGAAAUGCGUAGAUAUCGCUUGGAACGCCAAAGGUGAAAACAGGUUGCUGGGAUGUUCUGGACACUUGAGACGCGAAAGCCAGGGAGCGAACGGG
Molecule: ribosomal RNA, 253 nt
Filed under: uncultured bacterium
Lineage: Bacteria
Description: partial 16S ribosomal RNA
Rfam family: Bacterial small subunit ribosomal RNA
Source: RNAcentral